CAAUCUUUUCUUCUGAUAGUCUCUUUGCAGCUGACUCUACUGAAAGCUGCAGGUCUCGUUCUGUGUUCUUGUCGAUGUUGAUCGAGAGAAUCAGGUUUCUCCUGCAUAUGAAUUUUAGUUGGGGAGUGUUGUUGUAGAAUCCUUCGAUCUUUACCACAUCUCCAAGCCGGUAUCGAUA
Camelina sativa (false flax) is the source of this 178-nucleotide non-coding RNA. The record is from RefSeq and is a predicted model, not a curated record. NCBI's taxonomy places the organism in Eukaryota, Viridiplantae, Streptophyta, Magnoliopsida, Brassicales, Brassicaceae.